CUUAGGAUGAACGCUAGCGACAGGCCUAACACAUGCAAGUCGAGGGGCAGCACAAGGAGCAAUCUGAGGUGGCGACCGGCGCACGGGUGAGUAACACGUAUGCAACCUGCCUGUAAGCGGGGAAUAACCCGUUGAAAGACGGACUAAUACCGCAUAAUACUAAAUUACUGCAUGGUAAUUUAUUUAAACAUUUAUGGCUUACAGAUGGGCAUGCGCAUGAUUAGCUAGUUGGAGAGGUAACGGCUCCCCAAGGCAACGAUCAUUAGGGGUUCUGAGAGGAAGGUCCCCCACACUGGUACUGAGACACGGACCAGACUCCUACGGGAGGCAGCAGUGAGGAAUAUUGGUCAAUGGACGAGAGUCUGAACCAGCCAAGUCGCGUGCAGGAAGAAUGUUCCCUAUGGAUUGUAAACUGCUUUUGCAGGGGAAUAAAGUGCAUCACGUGUGAUGUUUUGUAUGUACUCUGCGAAUAAGGAUCGGCUAACUCCGUGCCAGCCGCCGC
Molecule: ribosomal RNA, 502 nt
Filed under: uncultured bacterium
Lineage: Bacteria
Description: bacterial SSU rRNA
Rfam family: Bacterial small subunit ribosomal RNA
Source: RNAcentral